AUGGGCGAUGAUGCCCGAGGCGGCGGUGGCGGGGCGGCCGCCGAGCCGCUGCUGAAGAGGGCGCGGUGCCGACCCAACUGCCCCGGGUGCAGGGUGGACAGGAGGAAGGAGGAGAGGGAGGGGCUCCCCGUCACGGAGCUCUGCUGCAUGUGGCUCGUCACCAUCUGCUCCUCGUUGCCUAUACAGUACGUGUUUCCCUUCUUGUAUUUUAUGAUAAGAGACCUGAACAUUGCUAAAGAAGAAGAAGAUAUUGGAUUUUAUGCUGGUUUUGUUGGUGCUUCAUAUAUGCUUGGGAGAGCACUCACCUCUGUAAUAUGGGGAGUUGUGGCUGAUAAGUAUGGGAGGAAACCAGUUCUUCUAAUUACCCUUUUUUCAGUAAUUAUCUUCAAUACACUCUUUGGACUCAGCUCUAGUUACUGGAUGGCAUUAACCACAAGAGGUCUGCUUGGGCUGUUGUCUGGUAUGCUUGGACCAAUGAAGGCUUAUGCUUCAGAAGUAUGUCGGAAAGAACACAGUCACUUGGCAUUAUCACUCAUGUCCUCCUCACGUGGCAUAGGUCUUAUUGUUGGACCAGCCAUUGGUGGUUAUCUUGCACAGCCUGCAGAUAAAUAUCCAGGCAUAUUCUCUGUCAACUCCAUAUUUGGAAGGUUUCCGUACUUUCUCCCUUGUCUUUGUAUAUCACUCCUUGCCAUUGCCGCUGUAAUUGCUUGCUUCUGGCUUCCGGAAACUUUGCAUAAACACACUGAAGACACAAUGUUAAAUAGUUCGACUGAAGCUGUUGAAGAACCUUGUUCUGAUUUAAAUGCUGAACAAAGUGGUAGUGGCUGUCUCAGUUUAUUCACAAACUGGCCACUGAUGUCCACUAUCACUGUAUACUGCAUUUUCUCUCUCCAGGACAUGGCUUAUGCAGAGGUAUUUUCGCUUUGGGCUGUCAGUGACAGAAAAUACGGUGGACUAAGCUUUUCUUCUCAAGAUGUGGGUAGGGUCCUUUCAAUCUCAGGUCUCUUACUCCUAAUAUAUCAAAUUUUGAUCUAUCCAUUGGUUGCAAACUCUGUAGACCCCAUCACAUUAGUCCGUGCAAUUGCGCUAUUGACAAUACCACUUCUUUCGAGCUAUCCAUUCAUGCCUGCAUUAUCAGGGUCCAUUCUUCAGUUGGCACUAAAUUGUGCGUCUUUUCUGAAGAACUCUUUCUCAGUAACUACCAUGACUGUGUUCAACAUUUUAAUGAAUGAUGCUGUGAGUCAGGACCUAAGAGCCUCAGCCAAUGGCCUUUCUGUGACACUAAUGUCCAUCUUUAAAACUAUCGCUCCAGCUGUUGCAGGAGUUAUAUUCUCAUGGGCUCAGAGGCGUCAAAUAGCUCCAUUUCUUCCAGGCGACCACUUGGUGUUCUUUAUGCUGAAUGUGUUCACGGUUAUCGGUCUUAUGCUCACCUUCAGACCGUUCUACGCUAGAAAUGGCACGUCGAAUCAUUAA
Molecule: ribosomal RNA, 1473 nt
Filed under: Triticum aestivum (bread wheat)
Lineage: Eukaryota; Viridiplantae; Streptophyta; Magnoliopsida; Poales; Poaceae
Description: partial small subunit ribosomal RNA
Source: RNAcentral